ACAACUUGGUCAUUUAGAGGAAGUAAAAGUCGUAACAAGGUUUCCGUAGGUGAACCUGCGGAAGGAUCAUUAUUGAAUACGAUUGGGACUGAUGCUGGCUCUUCACUGAGCAUGUGCUCGUCUCAUUCUUAUUUAUCUUCUCUUGUGCACAUCUUGUAGUCUUGAAUGAACCCCUCGCAGUCAAAUGCGGUUUGGGAGACUGGGCGUCAGCUCUUCUCCUGCUUGUUCAAGGCUAUGUUUUCAUAUACACUAUAAAGUUACAGAAUGUCUUUUAACGAUUGUGCUAGUCGCAGUCAUUAAAUCUAUACAACUUUCAGCAACGGAUCUCUUGGCUCUCCUAUCGAUGAAGAACGCAGC
RNAcentral lists this unclassified non-coding RNA (357 nucleotides) under uncultured fungus. Its description in RNAcentral is "partial contains small subunit ribosomal RNA, internal transcribed spacer 1, and 5.8S ribosomal RNA". The stretch from base 1 to 72 matches the Rfam family "Eukaryotic small subunit ribosomal RNA", at positions 1760 to 1831 of the family's 1831-position model. The record is from RNAcentral. Lineage: Eukaryota; Fungi.